This is a long non-coding RNA of Eucalyptus grandis, 1050 nucleotides long. RefSeq lists it as uncharacterized. The record is from RefSeq and is a predicted model, not a curated record. The transcript has 2 exons. Lineage: Eukaryota; Viridiplantae; Streptophyta; Magnoliopsida; Myrtales; Myrtaceae.
CACUUUGUCUCUUUCAUUUCCCUUGGAGCUGCCCUCUCCACGUCGAUCUCUCUCUCCUUCCCUUCGAAGGCCGCCUGCUGCCCUCCACUUUCAUUUGUUCCCAAUUGCUGCGGCAUGAAGUAAAAGCCACCGAAGCAGCCACGAUUUCCCUCCACCUCUGCCAAGCUGCCAACGUUUCCCCCAUCCUGCCAGCAGUCAACGCCACCCUGCAGCUCCACCAUCUUCAGUCUACCUUCAUCCUCCACCAACAAAUUCGUGCGGUCCAGUCCACUUCUUCACUCGGUCAACGUCUCCACCGAAUCAACUGCUUCUUCAACUGGUUGUUGACCACCAGCAACGACAUGAUCCCCUGCCAGCCCCCCUUGCGUGUCUUUCUCUCCACCGAAGCAAUUUCCCCCAAGCUUUUGACCGUGUCUUUUACUCACGAAGCCAGCAAAGCCAACUCUUCUCGCCAGCGAAUUUCACGGGCCCAGCAGCCAUCAAAACAAGCUGUCUGUCUCCACCGUUUCGUGCACGACGUCAACCUGCCUCCACGCCAAUCUAGCCCAUUGAAGUCAGCCCGUCAUUUAGCUCAACAACCCGCAUCUCGGCCCGACCAUCAGCUUCCUCAAUUCUGGACCAAGCCCAGCAGUUUUGCUGUGGGCUUUGUGGCCUUUUUCAGCCUGGUCCAAGCCCCAUUGGCGUCAUCGCAAACCCGGGUUUCGGCCGCCGUCGCACCGCCGUCAUGGUGAACCGGUUUUCGCGUUAAAUCGGGAGGAUCUAAGACAAGGUAAGUCUCGAUGGUUGUAUGAUUGUGUGGUUAGGACGCCCUAGGCGUAUUAUCUUCCUAAUUGGGGUUUAGAGUGUGAACUCGCUAAGAUUUAUAUCUCACCUCGUCGUAAGCUUAACUUUUCAAGAUCGUAGGGUAGAAGAUCCGGAGUCAAGCUGAAGUGAUCUGAAGUGUAGGUUAGAUAAAAUAGUUUAUUUUGAGAGUCAGUCUUUUGAACUCUUUUGGUUGUAGACUUUUGUACUUGACUUAGUGUGUAUAUAAAAGCAUGUUUUGUUUUUGAA